GGGAGAUGGCUCAGUGGUUAAGAGCACUAGAUGCUCUUCUAGAGGACCAGGGUUCAAUUCCUAGCACCCA
This is a non-coding RNA of Mesocricetus auratus (golden hamster), 70 nucleotides long. The record is from Rfam. NCBI's taxonomy places the organism in Eukaryota, Metazoa, Chordata, Mammalia, Rodentia, Cricetidae.